GGAUUGUAGCUCAGUGGUAGAGCACUUGCCUAGCACAUGUGAGGCCCUGGGUUUGAUCCUCAGCACCA
Molecule: transfer RNA, 68 nt
Filed under: Marmota monax (woodchuck)
Lineage: Eukaryota; Metazoa; Chordata; Mammalia; Rodentia; Sciuridae
Description: tRNA.Ala
Source: RNAcentral